This 578-nucleotide ribosomal RNA is filed under the name uncultured bacterium. Its description in RNAcentral is "bacterial SSU rRNA". It matches the Rfam family "Bacterial small subunit ribosomal RNA", at positions 338 to 916 of the family's 1533-position model. The record is from RNAcentral.
CCUACGGGAGGCAGCAGUAAGGAAUAUUGGACAAUGCUCGCAAGAGUGAUCCAGCCAUGCCGCGUGCAGGAAGAAUGCCCUAUGGGUAGUAAACUGCUUUUGAACUAGAGAAAACCCCAGUACGUGUACUGGGCUGAUAGUAUAGUUAGAAUAAGCAUCGGCUAACUUCGUGCCAGCAGCCGCGGUAAGACGAAGGAUGCAAGCGUUAUCCGGAUUCAUUGGGUUUAAAGGGAGCGUAGGUGGACUGAUAAGUCAGUGGUGAAAUCUCCGAGCUUAACUCGGAAAUUGCCAUUGAUACUGUUGGUCUUGAGUACAGUUGCUGUGGGCGGAAUAUGACAUGUAGUGGUGAAAUACAUAGAGAUGUCAUAGAACACCGAUUGCGAAGGCAGCCACAAAGCUGUAACUGACACUGAGGCUCGAAAGUGCGGGGAUCAAACAGGAUUAGAUACCCUGGUAGUCCGCACCGUAAACGAUGAUUACUCGCUGCUAGGGGGCAACCUUUAGUGGCUUAGCGAAAGCGAUAAGUAAUCCACCUGGGGAGUACGUCGGCAACGGUGAAACGUCAAAGGAAUUGACGG